Molecule: ribosomal RNA, 273 nt
Filed under: uncultured bacterium
Lineage: Bacteria
Description: partial 16S ribosomal RNA
Rfam family: Bacterial small subunit ribosomal RNA
Source: RNAcentral
GUGCCAGCAGCCCGCGGUAAUACGUAGGGGGCAAGCGUUAUCCGGAAUUACUGGGUGUAAAGGGAGAGUAGGCGGCAUGGUAAGCCAGAUGUGAAAGCCUUGGGCUUAACCCGAGGAUUGCAUUUGGAACUAUCAAGCUAGAGUACAGGAGAGGUAAGUGGAAUUCCUAGUGUAGCGGUGAAAUGCGUAGAUAUUAGGAAGAACACCAGUGGCGAAGGCGACUUACUGGACUGAAACUGACGCUGAGGCUCGAAAGCGUGGGGAGCGAACAGG